UCCCGGUUAGCUCAAUUGGUCAGAGCGUCGGACUUUUAGCUAUAGGUUCUCCGCGAGCCUUGCUGAUGAUAUCCGAAGGCUGCGAGUUCGACCCUCGCAUCGGGAG
This 106-nucleotide transfer RNA is filed under the name Colletotrichum graminicola M1.001. RNAcentral describes it as "tRNA-Lys for anticodon UUU". It matches the Rfam family "tRNA". Rfam says of the family: Transfer RNA (tRNA) molecules are approximately 80 nucleotides in length. Their secondary structure includes four short double-helical elements and three loops (D, anti-codon, and T loops). Lineage: Eukaryota; Fungi; Ascomycota; Sordariomycetes; Glomerellales; Glomerellaceae. The record is from Rfam by way of RNAcentral.